GUUUGUUAGCAAGUUAUAUCAUUCUUGCUAAGACAUUAUAGUUCAAUAUUUAUAAUAAUUUAACCAAUCUUAUCUAAAGACUUAUUUACACAACUUAAAAGUUUCAACCAUGAGUUGUGUUAUAUAGAAGAAUUAGAAAAUAUAAAUCCCGUAACUUAUUAGAUAAGAAUAACCAAAUUAUGUGGCAUUAUUGUUAACUAUUUAAUAUAAAGUGGUGUCUCUAUGGAGAGUCUAGAGGGAUGAAUUCUCAUCUCUAUUUUGAAAAUGAUAAACUUCAAAAAUAAAAUGCUUAUUGUAAUAAACUUGCAUAGUGUCAUAUUAUAUAAUAUCUACUUUAAAAUUUUAUUCAAUUUCUUGAUGUAGAAGAAAGUUAUUCAAUGCCUACAAUAUUUUUAUAAUCUAAAUAUAAUGAAGUGAUUAAAAUCAAUCUUUUCAACAACCAUAAGUUUUCUAAG
Molecule: long non-coding RNA, 455 nt
Filed under: Physcomitrium patens
Lineage: Eukaryota; Viridiplantae; Streptophyta; Bryopsida; Funariales; Funariaceae
Description: long non-coding RNA (PPAT_LNC006570)
Source: RNAcentral